Long non-coding RNA from Mus musculus (house mouse), 545 nucleotides. RefSeq annotates it as predicted gene, 40833. The record is from RefSeq and is a predicted model, not a curated record. Lineage: Eukaryota; Metazoa; Chordata; Mammalia; Rodentia; Muridae. The transcript is spliced from 3 exons.
GGCAGCAGAGAGGACACGGAAAGGAACAGCAGCAUGUAAUGAAGGUCCUCAGCCACCUCGGACCACAGUUCAAGAGAGCCUCCUUGCGGGAUGUAAUUGGGUUGGGUGCGACCUCUUGGAAAGUCUUCCGGAUUGAGGAGCACAAACUACAAAGUUACACAAAACAGAAAAUGGAUUUCCACUCAAGUCGCUCCACAGGAGUCUCAUGGAGGACAGGGCUGUUGAUCAGGGGCCUGCAUUCAUCUACAAGUGAGCUAAUGUGGUCUCCUUGUUAAUCGACAAAGACCAAUGUCAGUUAAAGGACGUUUUGGCUUUUACUUUGGCUGGCCCUAAACUCACUAUGUGGAACAGGCUGUGGCUGGAGUUCACUAAGAUCUCACUGCUCCCGACUCCCUGGCUUUGGGAUUAAAAGUGUAUUCAACCACAUCCGGACCAACCAUAGAAUUUUGCUGCAACUACAGACUAACAUGUCUCAAAUCUUGCUGACAAACAGGGGCAAACGAGCUGUUUAAAUUCGCAAUAAAAGUUGGUCCUCUCAAAGCCCU